AGAGUUUGAUCCUGGCUCAGGACGAACGCUGGCGGCGUGCUUAACACAUGCAAGUCGAACGAAGAGCGAUGGGAGCUUGCUCCUAUCAAUCUUAGUGGCGAACGGGUGAGUAACGCGUAAUCAACCUGCCCUUCAAUGGGGGACAACAGUUGGAAACGACUGCUAAUACCGCAUACGAUCGUAAUUCGGCAUCGAGUACGAUGAAAGGUGGCCUCUAUUUAUAAGCUAUCGUUGAAGGAGGGGAUUGCGUCUGAUUAGCUAGUUGGAGGGGUAACGGCCCACCAAGGCAAUGAUCAGUAGCCGGUCUGAGAGGAUGAACGGCCACAUUGGGACUGAGACACGGCCCAAACUCCUACGGGAGGCAGCAGUGGGGAAUCUUCCGCAAUGGACGAAAGUCUGACGGAGCAACGCCGCGUGAGUGAUGAAGGUCUUCGGAUUGUAAAGCUCUGUUAAUCGGGACGAAAGAGCCUAGUGUGAAUAAUGCUAGGAAGUGACGGUACCGGAAUAGAAAGCCACGGCUAACUACGUGCCAGCAGCCGCGGUAAUACGUAGGUGGCAAGCGUUGUCCGGAAUUAUUGGGCGUAAAGCGCGCGCAGGCGGAUCUGCCAGUCUGUCUUAAAAGUUCGGGGCUUAACCCCGUGAUGGGAUAGAAACUACAGAUCUAGAGUAUCGGAGAGGAAAGUGGAAUUCCUAGUGUAGCGGUGAAAUGCGUAGAUAUUAGGAAGAACACCAGUGGCGAAGGCGACUUUCUGGACGAAAACUGACGCUGAGGCGCGAAAGCCAGGGGAGCGAACGGGAUUAGAUACCCCGGUAGUCCUGGCCGUAAACGAUGGGUACUAGGUGUAGGAGGUAUCGACCCCUUCUGUGCCGCAGUUAACGCAAUAAGUACCCCGCCUGGGGAGUACGACCGCAAGGUUGAAACCAAAGGAAUUGACGG
This 937-nucleotide ribosomal RNA is filed under the name uncultured bacterium. Its description in RNAcentral is "bacterial SSU rRNA". It matches the Rfam family "Bacterial small subunit ribosomal RNA", at positions 8 to 916 of the family's 1533-position model. The record is from RNAcentral.